This 508-nucleotide ribosomal RNA is filed under the name uncultured bacterium. Its description in RNAcentral is "partial 16S ribosomal RNA". It matches the Rfam family "Bacterial small subunit ribosomal RNA", at positions 28 to 507 of the family's 1533-position model. The record is from RNAcentral.
GACGAACGCUGGCGGCGUGCCUAAUACAUGCAAGUCGAACGCUUCUUUCCUCCCGAGUGCUUGCACUCAAUUGGAAAGAGGAGUGGCGGACGGGUGAGUAACACGUGGGUAACCUACCCAUCAGAGGGGGAUAACACUUGGAAACAGGUGCUAAUACCGCAUAACAGUUUAUGCCGCAUGGCAUAAGAGUGAAAGGCGCUUUCGGGUGUCGUUGAUGGUUGGACCCGCGGUGCAUUAGCUAGUUGGUGAGGUAACGGCUCACCAAGGCCACGAUGCAUAGCCGGCCUGAGAGGAUGAUCGGCCACACUGGAACUGAGACACGGCCCAGACUCCUACGGGAGGCAGCAGUAGGGAAUCUUCGGCAAUGGACGCAAGUCUGACCGAGCAACGCCGCGUGAGUGAAGAAGGUUUUCGGAUCGUAAAACUCUGUUGUUAGGGAAGAACAGGGACGUUAGUAACUGAACGUGCCCUGACGGUAUCUAAACAGAAAGCCACGGCUAACUACGUG